RNAcentral lists this long non-coding RNA (584 nucleotides) under Chinchilla lanigera (long-tailed chinchilla). RNAcentral's name for it is "lncRNA (ENSCLAG00000028129.1)". Lineage: Eukaryota; Metazoa; Chordata; Mammalia; Rodentia; Chinchillidae. The record is from RNAcentral.
UGCUGUGAAUAUUUGUUUUCAGAUUGGGAGAAUGAAAUGAUAAACCAUAGAAGAGGAUAAAAUAAUUGCAAAGCAUAUAUUUUUAAAAAGCUUGUAUACAGACUGUAUGAAGAACCCUUAAGAUUCAAUAAUGACCAAGCAAACUACCCAGUAAAGAAAUGAGAAAAAGAAUUGAACGCUCUUCACAAAAGAAGAUAUGGAGAUUAACAAAUAUGAAUAUGAAAUGUUGCUCAGUAUCAUUGGUCAACAGAAAAAAUGAAAACCAAAACGAAGUAUCUUGGCAUACCGAUCAUAGCACAAAUUGGAAGCUUUUAAAAGUUUAAAUGUAACACCUACUAUAAUAUGCAGAAAAGAUGAAAAAUGCACUACCAGUAGAGACCUGUAAGAUAAAUUCUGAAGUGGCAGCUCACUGCAGCCUACACUCCAAGAGCCAUGACGAUGACCCAUCCACCUGUGUAUGGCGUUUAUUACAUGAUGAAGUUUUUCCAUCUCCUUUGCCUUCACUGGAGGAAGUAUUGUUCUUGGCUGUCUUGCUUGGGCUUCCAGUUAGCUGUAAGCCUCUGAUACGUACGGCAGCACCCUGA